Molecule: long non-coding RNA, 554 nt
Organism: Daphnia pulex (common water flea)
Lineage: Eukaryota; Metazoa; Arthropoda; Branchiopoda; Diplostraca; Daphniidae
Exons: 3
Source: RefSeq, a predicted model, not a curated record
CUAGAGAACCUUGGCUAACUGUUUGGUGGUUUCAUGUGUUUGAAACUAUAGGUUUCUAAAUUUGCAUGACAGACUUUAAGAAAGUCAUGUUGAAGAUAAAGGACUGGCAGACUGUCAACAAGGUACGCUACCUUGUUUGGUAACCUUGAAUUGGCUUGGCUGCUUCCCUUGAAUCUCCCUUUUUACUUCCUUAAGCUUGAUAUGAGGGUAACUCGGUAACUCCUUUGCUACUUAUCAUGGACUUCAUCCAUUGGUGAUGCUGUAAUUCAAGAGAAUGCUGUUAUUCAAGACUGAUAAAUUGUUUAGUUGCUUGAUGAAACAAGUGCAUAUCUGGGUUCCCUCGCUAACCAUUGGUCGUGUAAUCACCCUGGCUGCAGUCAAUUAAGGCAGUCUCCCCCUGUCUUGAUUGACUGUAUGUGCGAGUUUCAAAAGCAGUUUAUCACCCAAAUGAGACAAAAGGAGUAUAUCAGUUUGUUUUAUUUGGGUAUAAAUUGUUUUACAUUUGCACAGAAUAACAUUUGUUUUGUACCGGACGGUUUGUUUAUUGAAUUACA